Molecule: ribosomal RNA, 721 nt
Filed under: uncultured archaeon
Lineage: Archaea
Description: bacterial SSU rRNA
Rfam family: Archaeal small subunit ribosomal RNA
Source: RNAcentral
UGCUAGUUGCACGGGUUUAGACCCGUGGCGAAUAGCUCAGUAACACGUGGCCAAACUACCCUGUAGACCGGAAUAACCUCGGGAAACUGAGGCUAAUCCCGGAUAGUGCUUCGAUGCUGGAGUGCACGAAGUACAAAAUGCGUCAGCGCUACAGGAUGUGGCUGCGGUCGAUUAGGUUGGCGGUGGGGUAACGGCCCACCGUGCCUAUAAUCGGUACGGGUCAUGAGAGUGAGAGCCCGGAGACGGUUUCUGAGACAAGAAGCCGGGCCCUACGGGGCGCAGCAGGCGCGAAACCUUUACACUGCACGACAGUGCGAUAGGGGGACUCCGAGUGCGAGGGCAUAUAGUCCUCGCUUUUCUGCACCGUAAGGAGGUGCAAGAAUAAGGGCUGGGCAAGACCGGUGCCAGCCGCCGCGGUAAUACCGGCAGCCCGAGUGAUGGCCGCUAUUAUUGGGCCUAAAGCGUCCGUAGCCGGCCAGACAAGUCCGUUGGGAAAUCCACGCGCUCAACGCGUGGACGUCCGGCGGAAACUGUCUGGCUUGGGGCCGGAAGACCUGAGGGGUACGUCCAGGGUAGGAGUGAAAUCCCGUAAUCCUGGACGGACCGCCGGUGGCGAAAGCGCCUCAGGAGGACGGACCCGACGGUGAGGGACGAAAGCUAGGAUCUCGAACCGGAUUAGAUACCCGGGUAGUCCUAGCCGUAAACGAUGCUCGCUGGGUGG